UUAAUUAGUCGACGACUAGAUUCAGAGUUUGCGAAUCGUUAAAAAAAAAUUGUCUUCCGCGCCUCGUGUUUUAUACGAAGAAAAUAAAAAAAAAAACGCGUACUCAACUUUUGGGACCACGACGUUAUUGAUUUUCUUCGCACAAGUUACGUCGCUUUGAAAUGGUCGUUACCCUCCUGAAAACAUUGGGGUGCCGUGUCUUACCCUCUGUUGCGGGGUGAAAUAAAAUUCCUUAAAACAUACUGUAGAUACACGCACUUGGUGGCACAUUUUUUACGUUAGUUGGUGAAAGUGGUGCAAAACGUGCAAAUACAAACAGAGACAAAAAUGAAGUUGAUAUCAGUGAAUUAUUUAGGGUUUACUGCAAUGGACAGAAGGUUUUCCGCCCCCAUGUUACCCUGGAUAGUGUCGGAAAUCAAAAAGAGAGAUUAUAUAGAACGGAUAAGUGUUGGGGUAGAGGAUGGUUAUUUGCAGGCAUAUAACAGUGAUUUCGAAGUCCAAUUUUCGCACUCGAUCUCAAUGAUCUACCGAUUCUCCCAAGCUGACGUCGAUCCUUGCACUUUUCUGUAUCUCUACAGGGACGACAUUGACCAGCUCUUGUUUUGUUACCUUUUUCAGGCCCUUAAACAAUCUGACGUAACGGAGGUUUAUCAGCAAAUGAAGGAUAAUCAGAGCCUGUAUACGCCGACGCCUCCCAGAUCUUUAAGCAGUGGCUCCAGUUUGACUUCCUUGAGCCUGGAUAUCUCUCCAAGUUCUAGUAAUUUUUUCGAGGUUCUUUACAUUGGAAAAAUCAAAGUUUGGAAUCGGAAAGUCCCUGAUUCAUUCAUAGAUGAUGCUCUUCAGAAAUUUGAAGCUCACGAUCUAGAAAAGAAAGCCAAUGUCCGCGCUCCAAUUGAACGUCUCCAGAGUGAACAAGAUUUGUAUAGGAGGUUAGCAAAUGGCCCUCGAGCAGAAAGGCAAUCGUCUCCCGAGUCUCCACCUGUACCAUCUCUAACAAGAUCACUCUCAGUGGCGUCUAGUCUUAUUCCGAAACAAAUCGAAAACCAAUACCGUAAAGAGAUAUUGUCUACCAACGAGAGUGACAUAAGUGAUAAUUUCUCGAAAAUCUCGAUCCCUGAAGAUGGUUCCGAAGACACAAAGAGCUCUAAAAGCGAAUUAUCGGAGACCUCAUCGUUUACUGAAAGUAGCAAAGCGGGAGGAGAUACUACCAGUACAAGUGAUUAUAAAGAAGGAAGUGAUUCUUCGUCGGUCACCAGCAGGGAUGAAAAGAAAGAAAUGACCAGAACUGUUGUCGAUAUGGACGACCACAACAGAACGAUGGUUUUGCAAGUGGGGCGAAUAGACUUGAGACUUAUUAGCCCAGACAGAAAACUUAUCUUAUUGCACAAGCAGACUAGGGACAUUGCUACGUGUGUACAAGGACGUGAAAAUUCCUCCCAUUUCGGGUUCAUCUCCAGAGAAACACCCACAUCCAAUAUCUUCAUAGGAUACGUAUUUAAAUGUGAGUCUGCAUCAAUAGCCAGUGAAGCAGUUGGAGCAAUAACUCAGGCAUUUACUAAUGCUGAAUCAAAAUUUGCUCGACCUAUCAUUACCUCAUGUGAGCAGUGUCCAAUGGUCUGGUUUCAUAAAUUGUGCGUCGAAGUGGAGAAUUUAAGUGACAGAAAAACUCAAGCAGCGAUUUUGAGAAGAAUAGACCAAUUAGACGAAGAAGAACAGAGCAUGAUAUUAGCAAAAUUUAGAGGAGCUGAAACAGAUUCAGUUCGUGAACAGAAUGAGUUCCUCAUGAUGUUGCUGAGAGCACAUUGUGAAAUGAAGCAGGGUCGUCACGUCCACGAUACAGCUGAAAACAGGUCUGAAUUUUUGAAUCAGUAUCUGGGAGGCAGUACGAUCUUCAUGAAAGCCAAAAGGUCCUUGACAAAUUCGUUUGAUAACUUGUUAAAGAGGAGGUCGUCCAGGGAUGACGUGGGGGCAACAUUCAAUAGAGAUAUGACAUUGCCAAUCCAUUCAAGUUUAAAGGAAGGAAUGUCGCCUGCAUCCGCUAAUUUUCAAGAGACGUCCGAUCGUGAAUCUGAAGGCUCACACUCUCCUUCCACUCUAGGUUCUCAAAGCGAUCUUAGGGAUCCUAAAAAUGGAAACCCUGAGCCACAAACCCAAAGCAAUGUGUCACCUGAAAGAACAGGAACUGCAACAGACAAGGGACUCAAAUCUCCCAUGAUGGACAUAUUUAUGAAAGUUGGAAGUAGUCCUAAAUCCGUACCCUACGAUGAAGGAUCUCCAAAGUACGAUGCAGGCUCUUGGAGACAAGCUAUUUUUAAAAGGGUAAUAACUCCAAAUAAACAGCAAGCAAGAGAUAGUGGACAAAAGAGGAGUAAUGAAGAACUGAGGAUGCUUUGGAAGAAGGGCAUCCAACAAGCCAUCUUGUUAGUCCGGAUGGAAAAGGAAAAUGCGAGGAUAAAGGCUCAACAGGAAGAGAACGCAGUUAAACGCAUAAAACUGGAGUAUGAUGACAUGAAACUGAAUCAGAGAGAAGUUAUGGAAGUGUGGGAUCAAAUGAUCGACAAGGAUAUUCGGGUGACUAGGGAUAACAAUCUGCUGCUUCAUGCAGUAAGACAAGGUAUUCCAAGAGCGAAAAGAGGAGAAGUCUGGCAAUUUUUGGCAGAAGAAUCCUGCAAGCGCACAGCUCCCGUUGACACUAGCAAAUUCCCAAAUUACAACGUGCCUUAUGAAACAUUAUUAAAGCAACUCACCUCUCAUCAACACGCCAUACUUAUUGACUUAGGAAGGACUUUUCCUAAUCACUCUUACUACAGUAGUCCCCUUGGACAAGGCCAACUGGCACUAUUCAACUUGUUGAAAGCAUACUCGCUUCUAGACCCAGAAGUGGGAUAUUGUCAAGGACUCAGUUUUGUCGGAGGUGUUCUACUUCUUCAUAUGGAGGAAGCUCAAGCCUUCUCUUUGCUUCGACAUUUGAUGUUUCGAAGAAAUCUUCGCAAACAAUACUUGCCAGAUAUGGUGGCCUUGCAGAUCAAACUUUAUCAGAUUUCUAGGUUACUCCACGAUCAAAUUCCUGAGCUUUAUGAUCAUUUCGACCUGCAUGAGGUUGCCCCCACAUUGUAUGCAGCUCCUUGGCUACUCACCAUCUUCGCCUCUCAAUUUCCCUUAGGAUUUGUGACAAGAGUGUUUGACAUUCUGUUUUUGGAAAACACUGAUAUUAUCUUCAAAGUGGCGAUCGCUCUCCUCUCCCUUCAUAAGGAUAAUCUUCUCAAAUGUGAUAGUUUCGAAGAGAUUAUGGACUACCUCAAGAAUAAAGUUACCAAUAUGGACAAAUUUAUGUUGGAUAAGGUUAUCAAGAAGGUGGCUACGUUGGACAUAAAGAAACAGCUAAACGAAUACAAAGUGGAAUAUCAUGUCCUGCAGGAAGAAAUGGCCGCUGUUCAACCCCAACUUGAAGCAUUACAUAAAUUGCAAAAGGAAAACAAAAUUCUCACUGACCUUAAUAAGUCAUUGACGUCUCAAGUUGACCUUCACAUGUCCAACGUACACAGGCUCGAAAAGUCGCGAACUAUCCUUCAAUCGAAUUGCAAUAAAUUAGAAAUGACAAAUAGAGGCCUGGAAGUCACUGUGGUGACCUUGGUAUCGUUCGUUAACAGCCUGAUAGAGAACAAAGUGGACGUGGAAAUUCCUGACGAUGUCCGAAGGAUUUUGACACAAGUUUCUUUUAAUGAGAAGAACAAAAAAGACCAAGCUCACAGAUCGAACGUGAUGAGGAUGUUUGGCAAAGAUAAUCAUCCAAAUGCGCAAAUGGAUGACUGUAGUCGAAGUUGACGGAGGGACAUCAACAAAUGCCACGUCCCACGAAGUCAGAUUAAGAAAAAUGAGAUGGAAGAAUAAACAGAAAGGAUCAAGUCCUUGAGUACCGGUAAAAUGAACUUAAGUGAACUAACGCCGUUUCU
Molecule: unclassified non-coding RNA, 3953 nt
Filed under: Agrilus planipennis (emerald ash borer)
Lineage: Eukaryota; Metazoa; Arthropoda; Insecta; Coleoptera; Buprestidae
Description: tBC1 domain family member 4, transcript variant X10
Source: RNAcentral